This is a long non-coding RNA of Tyto alba (common barn owl), 405 nucleotides long. RefSeq lists it as uncharacterized. The transcript is spliced from 2 exons. The record is from RefSeq and is a predicted model, not a curated record. Lineage: Eukaryota; Metazoa; Chordata; Aves; Strigiformes; Tytonidae.
AACAAUUGCAGCCCAGUGAUCGCAUCAGCCUUUCUCAUGAUGGGGAUUACGGUUCAAAUUUUCUUCUUGGUUUCUGUUCUCUGCAACAAAACACUGCAAGACCACCAGAUCUUCAUUGCCACAUGCCAGCUGCUGGUACUAAGGAACAGGCUCCCAUCUUCACUGCCCUACCCACACGCAUCUGCGCCUCUGGUGCAGUGUGGGGUGGGUGGUGAGCAAAGAGCACCUCAGCAGGAAAACCUGGAUUUGUGUUCACCAACGGGAGAAGUGACACAUGGAAUUGAAGACAGCUUGGCAGCAAUGUAAAACUAGCCAUUGUAGCUAAAUUAUAGUUGCAUAAUUUUGAAAGAAUAGUGAAGUGACAUAGCUAUGCUACUGUAAAGCUGAAAGUUUCAGAAAGCUCUU